GCCGGACUGGCGGAAUGGCAGACGCAGUGGAUUCAAAAUCCACCGCCCGCAAGGGCAUCCCGGUUCGACUCCGGGGUCCGGUA
This 83-nucleotide transfer RNA is filed under the name Planctomycetaceae bacterium. Its description in RNAcentral is "tRNA-Leu". It matches the Rfam family "tRNA". From Rfam's summary of the family: Transfer RNA (tRNA) molecules are approximately 80 nucleotides in length. Their secondary structure includes four short double-helical elements and three loops (D, anti-codon, and T loops). Further hydrogen bonds mediate the characteristic L-shaped molecular structure. tRNAs have two regions of fundamental functional importance: the anti-codon, which is responsible for specific mRNA codon recognition, and the 3' end, to which the tRNAs corresponding amino acid is attached (by aminoacyl-tRNA synthetases). tRNAs cope with the degeneracy of the genetic code in two manners: having more than one tRNA (with a specific anti-codon) for a particular amino acid; and 'wobble' base-pairing, i.e. permitting non-standard base-pairing at the 3rd anti-codon position. Lineage: Bacteria; Pseudomonadati; Planctomycetota; Planctomycetia; Planctomycetales; Planctomycetaceae. The record is from RNAcentral.